UUGACAACAGGUUUGAAGCAUUGAGUCUGAAGCAUUGUGGACUUCCUUAAGACCUUUCAUAUCCAAACAAGGUAGCUUUAAUUGUUUUUCUUUCCCAUAUUGGAAGUUUUGUACCUGCAGAUGUUGCUACUGUGGGCUUGACUGACAGGUAGCUUUAAUUGUUUUCCUUUCCCAUAUUGGAAGUUUUGUACCUGCAGAUGUUGUUACUGUGUGUUUAACUGACAGGUUCGAUUUUUAUAUCCCUAGCCUUUUGGUAUCAUUAAUUUUUUUGGUAAUGCAUUUUUGCAUAUUUUACUACGAGAACUUACCAGAAUUCCAAAAAGUAGGAUAUUUUGUGCCAUGGGAAGCAAAUUUAUGAAUGCUGAACAAUCAACAUUUAUGAUUGAUCUACAUCAAGUUGGAAUGACGCUGAGGUCGAUGAUGAUAUACGGAUGAUGAUCCAAGUUAGGUUUUGUUCCAAUCAAACGCUAUAUCUUCUUCAGCUAUUACGAGGCAAAUAUGUACAUGUUUUUAUGUAUUGGUGUAUCUUCGAGGGUUCUCUGACUCUCUCUCUCUCUCUCUCUCUCUCUCUCUCUCUCUCUCUCUCAGCAGCACUGUAAUGAUGUAUUUGUUUUUGGCUCUCCACAAAAUGUAAUUUGUUUACACUUUUUGGAGAGUAUGUAAUUUGUAUGCAAUCAUUUUUUGAACCAUAAAAUGAUUGCUGCUGUUUAUAUUUAAUUUUACAGUUUAUAUUAUGGUUGCCGGUUUGGUAUUAUGUUGAUAUAUUGAUGGUAGUUAAUUUGUGUAU
Molecule: non-coding RNA, 787 nt
Organism: Camellia sinensis
Lineage: Eukaryota; Viridiplantae; Streptophyta; Magnoliopsida; Ericales; Theaceae
Source: RefSeq, a predicted model, not a curated record